AUUGAUGUGUCAGAUGAACCUGACCUACCUGUGUGGUCUUUGGAGGCAAAUGGAAUCUUCUCGGUAAAAUCCUUUUAUAAAAAGAUCAACUUUUGUGGAGUGGCAUCUCAGAUUGGGGGAAAUCUUUGGAAAGUUCUUUGCCCCCAAAAGAUCCAUGUCUUCAUUUGGCUUGGAGUGUACAAUAAACUGCUUACUAGAGAUAACUUGGCCAAAAGAAGACAUGUUGAUGAUCUAACCUGUCUUUUUUGUUCUGAAAAUGAGAUUGUGCACCAUCUGUUCUUUGAUUGUGUUGUUGCAAAACAGGUUUGGCCAUUUGUAACUGAUUGCUUUGAUUACCCAUCCAUUUCUAGCUUUGAUGAUGUUAGUGCUUUGUGGCAUAUGUGCAAAAGGAAACCUGUACUAAAUCUUAUUGUGGCUGCAUCCUUGUGGAGCCUCUGGAAACUGAGAAACGAGUUUUGUUUUCAGGGUCGUGCCUGGAGAAAUGCCAACUGCAGUCUUGCAAAACUAAGGUCCCAUCUUCAAUAA
This 525-nucleotide ribosomal RNA is filed under the name Triticum aestivum (bread wheat). Its description in RNAcentral is "partial small subunit ribosomal RNA". Lineage: Eukaryota; Viridiplantae; Streptophyta; Magnoliopsida; Poales; Poaceae. The record is from RNAcentral.